UUGCACGCUGGCGGCAGGCCUCACACCUGCAAGUCGAGCGGAUGAAGGGAGCUUGCUCCUGGAUUCAGCGGCGGACGGGUGAGUAAUGCCUAGGAAUCUGCCUGGUAGUGGGGGAUAACGUCCGGAAACGGGCGCUAAUACCGCAUACGUCCUGAGGGAGAAAGUGGGGGAUCUUCGGACCUCACGCUAUCAGAUGAGCCUAGGUCGGAUUAGCUAGUUGGUGGGGUAAGGGCCUACCAAGGCGACGAUCCGUAACUGGUCUGAGAGGAUGAUCAGUCACACUGGAACUGAGACACGGUCCAGACUCCUACGGGAGGCAGCAGUGGGGAAUAUUGGACAAUGGGCGAAAGCCUGAUCCAGCCAUGCCGCGUGUGUGAAGAAGGUCUUCGGAUUGUAAAGCACUUUAAGUUGGGAGGAAGGGCAGUAAGUUAAUACCUUGCUGUUUUGACGUUACCAACAGAAUAAGCACCGGCUAACUUCGUG
RNAcentral lists this ribosomal RNA (483 nucleotides) under uncultured bacterium. RNAcentral's name for it is "partial 16S ribosomal RNA". It matches the Rfam family "Bacterial small subunit ribosomal RNA", at positions 30 to 507 of the family's 1533-position model. The record is from RNAcentral.